This 510-nucleotide ribosomal RNA is filed under the name uncultured bacterium. RNAcentral describes it as "bacterial SSU rRNA". It matches the Rfam family "Bacterial small subunit ribosomal RNA", at positions 8 to 518 of the family's 1533-position model. The record is from RNAcentral.
AGAGUUUGAUUCUGGCUCAGGAUGAACGCUGGCGGCGUGCUUAACACAUGCAAGUCGAACGGAGUUUUUAAACGGAAGUUUUCGGAUGGAAGUUUAAGACUUAGUGGCGGACGGGUGAGUAACGCGUGGGUAACCUGCCUCAUACAGGGGGAUAACAGUUAGAAAUGACUGCUAACACCGCAUAAUAUAGCGAAACCGCAUGAUUUUUGCUAUCAAAUAUUUAUAGGUAUGAGAUGGGCCCGCGUCUGAUUAGCUAGUUGGUGGGGUAAAGCCUACCAAGGCGACGAUCAGUAGCCGGCUUGAGAGAGUGACCGGCCACAUUGGGACUGAGACACGGCCCAAACUCCUACGGGAGGCAGCAGUGGGGAAUAUUGGACAAUGGGGGAAACCCUGAUCCAGCGAACCGCCGCGUGAGUGAAGAAGUAUUUCGGUAUGUAAAGCUCUAUCAGCAGGGAAGAUAAUGACAGUACCUGACUAAGAAGCCCCGGCUAACUACGUGCCAGCCGCUGC